ACGAUUUGAUGCAAGGUUAAGCAGUAAAUGUGGAGCCGUAGCGAAAGCGAGUCUGAAUAGGGCGUUUAGUAUUUGGUCGUAGACCCGAAACCAGGUGAUCUACCCUUGGUCAGGUUGAAGUUCAGGUAACACUGAAUGGAGGACCGAACCGACUUACGUUGAAAAGUGAGCGGAUGAACUGAGGGUAGCGGAGAAAUUCCAAUCGAACCUGGAGAUAGCUGGUUCUCUCCGAAAUAGCUUUAGGGCUAGCCUCAAGUGAUGAUUAUUGGAGGUAGAGCACUGUUUGGACGAGGGGCCCCUCUCGGGUUACCGAAUUCAGACAAACUCCGAAUGCCAAUUAAUUUAACUUGGGAGUCAGAACAUGGGUGAUAAGGUCCGUGUUCGAAAGGGAAACAGCCCAGACCACCAGCUAAGGUCCCAAAAUAUAUGUUAAGUGGAAAAGGAUGUGGCGUUGCCCAGACAACUAGGAUGUUGGCUUAGAAGCAGCCAUCAUUUAAAGAGUGCGUAAUAGCUCACUAGUCGAGUGACACUGCGCCGAAAAUGUACCGGGGCUAAACAUAUUACCGAAGCUGUGGAUUGUCCUUUGGACAAUGGUAGGAGAGCGUUCUAAGGGCGUUGAAGCAUGAUCGUAAGGACAUGUGGAGCGCUUAGAAGUGAGAAUGCCGGUGUGAGUAGCGAAAGACGGGUGAGAAUCCCGUCCACCGAUUGACUAAGGUUUCCAGAGGAAGGCUCGUCCGCUCUGGGUUAGUCGGGUCCUAAGCUGAGGCCGACAGGCGUAGGCGAUGGAUAACAGGUUGAUAUUCCUGUACCACCUAUAAUCGUUUUAAUCGAUGGGGGGACGCAGUAGGAUAGGCGAAGCGUGCGAUUGGAUUGCACGUCUAAGCAGUAAGGCUGAGUAUUAGGCAAAUCCGGUACUCAUUAAGGCUGAGCUGUGAUGGGGAGAAGACAUUGUGUCUUCGAGUCGUUGAUUUCACACUGCCGAGAAAAGCCUCUAGAUAGAAAAUAGGUGCCCGUACCGCAAACCGACACAGGUAGUCAAGAUGAGAAUUCUAAGGUGAGCGAGCGAACUCUCGUUAAGGAACUCGGCAAAAUGACCCCGUAACUUCGGGAGAAGGGGUGCUCUUUAGGGUUAACGCCCAGAAGAGCCGCAGUGAAUAGGCCCAAGCGACUGUUUAUCAAAAACACAGGUCUCUGCUAAACCGUAAGGUGAUGUAUAGGGGCUGACGCCUGCCCGGUGCUGGAAGGUUAAGAGGAGUGGUUAGCUUCUGCGAAGCUACGAAUCGAAGCCCCAGUAAACGGCGGCCGUAACUAUAACGGUCCUAAGGUAGCGAAAUUCCUUGUCGGGUAAGUUCCGACCCGCACGAAAGGCGUAACGAUUUGGGCACUGUCUCAACGAGAGACUCGGUGAAAUCAUAGUACCUGUGAAGAUGCAGGUUACCCGCGACAGGACGGAAAGACCCCGUGGAGCUUUACUGUAGCCUGAUAUUGAAAUUCGGCACAGCUUGUACAGGAUAGGUAGGAGCCUUUGAAACGUGAGCGCUAGCUUACGUGGAGGCGCUGGUGGGAUACUACCCUAGCUGUGUUGGCUUUCUAACCCGCACCACUUAUCGUGGUGGGAGACAGUGUCAGGCGGGCAGUUUGACUGGGGCGGUCGCCUCCUAAAAGGUAACGGAGGCGCUCAAAGGUUCCCUCAGAAUGGUUGGAAAUCAUUCAUAGAGUGUAAAGGCAUAAGGGAGCUUGACUGCGAGACCUACAAGUCGAGCAGGGUCGAAAGACGGACUUAGUGAUCCGGUGGUUCCGCAUGGAAGGGCCAUCGCUCAACGGAUAAAAGCUACCCCGGGGAUAACAGGCUUAUCUCCCCCAAGAGUUCACAUCGACGGGGAGGUUUGGCACCUCGAUGUCGGCUCAUCGCAUCCUGGGGCUGUAGUCGGUCCCAAGGGUUGGGCUGUUCGCCCAUUAAAGCGGUACGCGAGCUGGGUUCAGAACGUCGUGAGACAGUUCGGUCCCUAUCCGUCGUGGGCGUAGGAAAUUUGAGAGGAGCUGUCCUUAGUACGAGAGGACCGGGAUGGACAUACCUCUGGUGUACCAGUUGUCGUGCCAACGGCAUAGCUGGGUAGCUAUGUGUGGACGGGAUAAGUGCUGAAAGCAUCUAAGCAUGAAGCCCCCCUCAAGAUGAGAUUUCCCAACUUCGGUUAUAAGAUCCCUCAAAGAUGAUGAGGUUAAUAGGUUCGAGGUGGAAGCAUGGUGACAUGUGGAGCUGACGAAUACUAAUCGAUCGAAGACUUAAUCAA
Molecule: ribosomal RNA, 2291 nt
Filed under: Staphylococcus aureus FP_N5208 OX
Lineage: Bacteria; Bacillati; Bacillota; Bacilli; Caryophanales; Staphylococcaceae
Description: bacterial LSU rRNA
Rfam family: Bacterial large subunit ribosomal RNA
Source: RNAcentral